GCUGGGCGUGGUUGUGUGCGCCUGUAAUCCCAGCUACUCAGGAGGCUGAGGCAGGAGAAUCGCUUGAACCCGGGAAGCAGAGGUUGCAGUGAGCUGAGAUCUUGCCACUGCACUUCAGCCUGGGCGACAGAGCGAGACUCCGUCUCAA
Molecule: non-coding RNA, 148 nt
Filed under: Homo sapiens (human)
Lineage: Eukaryota; Metazoa; Chordata; Mammalia; Primates; Hominidae
Source: Rfam by way of RNAcentral